UGUUCAUUAAAUGUGGACUAGUAUGAACGGCAUCACGAGGGUUAUACUGUCUCCCUUUUCCCAUCAAUGAAACUGAUCUACCCGUGAAGAAGCGGGUAUAAAAAUAUAAGACGAGAAGACCCCAUGGAGCUUUAAACUCAGAAACACCAUUAUAAACAAACCUUAAUAAUAAACCCCCUGAUUUCUAGUUUUUGGUUGGGGUGACCGCGGAGAAUAAAAAAACCUCCACGAUGAACGGACUAACCUCCUAAUCUAAGAGCAACAACUCUAAGAAUCAACACAUUGACAAAAAUGAUCCAAAAUUUUGAUCAACGAACCAAGUUACCCUGGGGAUAACAGCGCAAUCCAUUUCAAGAGCUCCUAUCGACAAAUGGGUUUACGACCUCGAUGUUGGAUCAGGGUUCUCCAAGUGGUGCAGCCGCUACUUAAGGUUCGUUUGUUCAACGAUUAAAACC
This 455-nucleotide ribosomal RNA is filed under the name Kalophrynus nubicola. RNAcentral describes it as "partial 16S ribosomal RNA". It matches the Rfam family "Bacterial large subunit ribosomal RNA", at positions 1970 to 2595 of the family's 2925-position model. The record is from RNAcentral. Lineage: Eukaryota; Metazoa; Chordata; Amphibia; Anura; Microhylidae.